GCUUUUCUGUGGCUCAGUCAGUUUUGCAUUAUGCUAGCAACACAAAGGUUGUGGGUUCAAACCCCAGGGAAAGCA
Molecule: non-coding RNA, 75 nt
Organism: Danionella cerebrum
Lineage: Eukaryota; Metazoa; Chordata; Actinopteri; Cypriniformes; Danionidae
Source: the annotation of a GenBank genome assembly